GACGAACGCUGGCGGCGUGCUUAACACAUGCAAGUCGAACGGGAAGGCCCUUCGGGGUACACGAGUGGCGAACGGGUGAGUAACACGUGGGUGAUCUGCCCUGCACUUCGGGAUAAGCCUGGGAAACUGGGUCUAAUACCGGAUAGGACCACUGCCUGCAUGGGUGGUGGUGGAAAGCUUUUGCGGUGUGGGAUGGGCCGGCGGCCUAUCAGCGUGUUGGUGGGGUGGUGGCCUACCAAGGCGACGACGGGUAGCCGGCCUGAGAGGGUGACCGGCCUCGCUGGGACGGAGGUGCGGCCCAGACUCCUACGGGAGGCAGCAGUGGGGAAUAUUGCACAAUGGGCGCAAGCCUGAUGCAGCGACGCCGCGUGAGGGAUGACGGCCUUCGGGUUGUAAACCUCUUUCAGCACCGACGAAGCGCAAGUGACGGUAGGUGCAGAAGAAGGACCGGCCAACUGCGUGCCAGCCGCCGCGGUAA
RNAcentral lists this ribosomal RNA (478 nucleotides) under uncultured bacterium. RNAcentral describes it as "partial 16S ribosomal RNA". It matches the Rfam family "Bacterial small subunit ribosomal RNA", at positions 28 to 523 of the family's 1533-position model. The record is from RNAcentral.